RNAcentral lists this ribosomal RNA (1017 nucleotides) under Triticum aestivum (bread wheat). RNAcentral's name for it is "partial small subunit ribosomal RNA". Lineage: Eukaryota; Viridiplantae; Streptophyta; Magnoliopsida; Poales; Poaceae. The record is from RNAcentral.
AUGGACAACGAAAUCUUGUUUAUUACCUGCCAAGCUGGUUCAAAAUCAUUUAUCUAUAAAACCACUCUCACGGAUCUGAGUCCAAAGAUAAAAACAACCCCUCCUCUCAAACCACAUUACAUUGUACAUGGAGAUCGGUAUGGAGAUGAUGAUGGUGAGAGGCACUUUUUUCGCAGUGGCUCGAAACUAUAUGUUGUCUCAUCAUUCCAAAAAGAUGGCAUACAUGAGCUUAAUCUAGACACCAGAUUUCAGAAUUUCGAUCACCUUGCACGGUGGCCGGUUUCUGCUUCCUAUGUUGAUCCUUUUGUUAUGGUUAUCCAAGUUGGCUCAGCAACUCUUGCUCUUACUGAAACUCUCCAAGUUUACCGGAGGACCCACCUUGUUCAUCCUAUUGGGUCCACCUCAUGGGUGCGCUGCCGCACAGAUCAGUCUCAGGUUCUUGACAGGAAGGUCAAGUUGUCGGGAUAUGUGGCAGUGGGUGAUGAUUCUUUUAUAGUCUGUGAUACUGUCACAUGUUCCUGUCUUAAGUUUGACCUUCGUGCCAAGCAGUGGCAUGUUGUCAUGCCUUGGGCUCCAUGGGGGAAAUACCUGCAAAUGGAUAUGCAUAGAAACGGCCUUCUAAAUGGCAGAUGUGUAUUUAUUGACGGUUUUAUCUACACAUGCACUCGAAAUGGGCUUGCUGCUUAUGAACUACUCCGUGAAGAUCAUUGUGUGUACCUCGGCAUCUCAAUCUUUUUGCCAUUCUCAUGGGAGACUCAAAAUGAUUGGGAGGUUGAAAGAAUGUGUUUGGAUUAUGCUGGCAAAGACGUCAACUCGGGCGCCAUCUUGUUUUGGGUGGUUCAAGGUUUGCAGAUUAGAUAUAGACCCCCCAAGAAUCAGCUAUAUAUCACCGCUGUCAAGUUCGAGAUUAAGAAAACGCACGACAAGAGCAUGGAACCGGUGCGAAUUAACCGUGUGGUCUGUGCCAAGCGUAGCAUUCAUCAAGAGGAAGCAAUUGAGGUCAUGGGCAGAGACUGA